RNAcentral lists this ribosomal RNA (515 nucleotides) under Rhodococcus sp. PDR9. RNAcentral's name for it is "bacterial SSU rRNA". It matches the Rfam family "Bacterial small subunit ribosomal RNA", at positions 340 to 866 of the family's 1533-position model. The record is from RNAcentral. Lineage: Bacteria; Bacillati; Actinomycetota; Actinomycetes; Mycobacteriales; Nocardiaceae.
UACGGGAGGCAGCAGUGGGGAAUAUUGCACAAUGGGCGGAAGCCUGAUGCAGCGACGCCGCGUGAGGGAUGAAGGCCUUCGGGUUGUAAACCUCUUUCAGCAGGGACGAAGCGUGAGUGACGGUACCUGCAGAAGAAGCACCGGCUAACUACGUGCCAGCAGCCGCGGUAAUACGUAGGGUGCGAGCGUUGUCCGGAAUUACUGGGCGUAAAGAGUUCGUAGGCGGUUUGUCGCGUCGUUUGUGAAAACCCGGGGCUCAACUUCGGGCUUGCAGGCGAUACGGGCAGACUUGAGUGUUUCAGGGGAGACUGGAAUUCCUGGUGUAGCGGUGAAAUGCGCAGAUAUCAGGAGGAACACCGGUGGCGAAGGCGGGUCUCUGGGAAACAACUGACGCUGAGGAACGAAAGCGUGGGUAGCAAACAGGAUUAGAUACCCUGGUAGUCCACGCCGUAAACGGUGGGCGCUAGGUGUGGGUUCCUUCCACGGGAUCUGUGCCGUAGCUAACGCAUUAAGCG